GACGAACGCUUGCGGCGUGCUUAACACAUGCAAGUCGAACGGAAAGGCCCUGCUUUUGUGGGGUGCUCGAGUGGCGAACGGGUGAGUAACACGUGAGUAACCUGCCCUUGACUUUGGGAUAACUUCAGGAAACUGGGGCUAAUACCGGAUAGGAGCUCCUGCUGCAUGGUGGGGGUUGGAAAGUUUCGGCGGUUGGGGAUGGACUCGCGGCUUAUCAGCUUGUUGGUGGGGUAGUGGCUUACCAAGGCUUUGACGGGUAGCCGGCCUGAGAGGGUGACCGGCCACAUUGGGACUGAGAUACGGCCCAGACUCCUACGGGAGGCAGCAGUGGGGAAUAUUGCACAAUGGGCGGAAGCCUGAUGCAGCAACGCCGCGUGCGGGAUGACGGCCUUCGGGUUGUAAACCGCUUUCGCCUGUGACGAAGCGUGAGUGACGGUAAUGUGUAAAGAAGCACCGGCUAACUACGUGCCAGCAGCCGCGGUGAUACGUAGGGUGCGAGCGUUGUCCGGAUUUAUUGGGCGUAAAGGGCUCGUAGGUGGUUGAUCGCGUCGGAAGUGUAAUCUUGGGGCUUAACCCUGAGCGUGCUUUCGAUACGGGUUGACUUGAGGAAGGUAGGGGAGAAUGGAAUUCCUGGUGGAGCGGUGGAAUGCGCAGAUAUCAGGAGGAACACCAGUGGCGAAGGCGGUUCUCUGGGCCUUUCCUGACGCUGAGGAGCGAAAGCGUGGGGAGCGAACAGGCUUAGAUACCCUGGUAGUCCACGCUGUAAACGGUGGGUACUAGGUGUGGGGUCCAUUCCACGGGUUCCGUGCCGUAGCUAACGCUUUAAGUACCCCGCCUGGGGAGUACGGCCGCAAGGCUAAAACUCAAAGGAAUUGACGGGGCCCCGCACAAGCGGCGGAGCAUGCGGAUUAAUUCGAUGCAACGCGUAGAACCUUACCUGGGUUUGACAUGGAUCGGGAGUGCUCAGAGAUGGGUGUGCCUCUUUUGGGGUCGGUUCACAGGUGGUGCAUGGCUGUCGUCAGCUCGUGUCGUGAGAUGUUGGGUUAAGUCCCGCAACGAGCGCAACCCUUGUUCACUGUUGCCAGCACGUUAUGGUGGGGACUCAGUGGAGACCGCCGGGGUCAACUCGGAGGAAGGUGGGGAUGACGUCAAGUCAUCAUGCCCCUUAUGUCCAGGGCUUCACGCAUGCUACAAUGGCUGGUACAGAGAGUGGCGAGCCUGUGAGGGUGAGCGAAUCUCGGAAAGCCGGUCUCAGUUCGGAUUGGGGUCUGCAACUCGACCUCAUGAAGUCGGAGUCGCUAGUAAUCGCAAAUCAGCAACGCUGCGGUGAAUACGUUCCCGGG
RNAcentral lists this ribosomal RNA (1343 nucleotides) under uncultured bacterium. RNAcentral's name for it is "16S ribosomal RNA". It matches the Rfam family "Bacterial small subunit ribosomal RNA", at positions 28 to 1378 of the family's 1533-position model. The record is from RNAcentral.